RNAcentral lists this small RNA (78 nucleotides) under Flavobacterium aquicola. Its description in RNAcentral is "Flavo-1 RNA". It matches the Rfam family "Flavo-1 RNA". Lineage: Bacteria; Pseudomonadati; Bacteroidota; Flavobacteriia; Flavobacteriales; Flavobacteriaceae. The record is from RNAcentral.
UUUUAGCCCCGAUUGAAGUGAAAAUCCUUGUGGGCUGGGGUUCAGCCCACAAGAUUGGAGUGGAAAGCGGGAGGAUAC